CACCGCGGUUAUACGAGAGGCCCAAGUUGACAAAUGCCGGCGUAAAAUGUGGUUAAUAUAAUUAUGUACUAAAGCUAAACAUCUUCAAAGCUGUUAUACCCACAUGAAGACAGGAAGUACCCCCACGAAAGUGGCUUUAAAUAAUAUUAUUCCACGAAAGCUAGGAUA
RNAcentral lists this ribosomal RNA (168 nucleotides) under Lethops connectens. Its description in RNAcentral is "partial small subunit ribosomal RNA". Lineage: Eukaryota; Metazoa; Chordata; Actinopteri; Gobiiformes; Gobiidae. The record is from RNAcentral.